RNAcentral lists this ribosomal RNA (372 nucleotides) under uncultured bacterium. Its description in RNAcentral is "bacterial SSU rRNA". It matches the Rfam family "Bacterial small subunit ribosomal RNA", at positions 527 to 896 of the family's 1533-position model. The record is from RNAcentral.
GGAGGGUGCAAGCGUUGUUCGGAAUUAUUGGGCGUAAAGCGCGCGCAGGCGGUCUGGAAAGUCUAUGGGUGAAAUGCCGGGGCUCAACCCCGUGCAUGCCCAGGAUACUGUCAGACUGGAGACACGUAGAGGCAAGCGGGAUUUCGGGUGUAGCGGUGGAAUGCGUAGAUAUCCGAAAGAACACCGGAGGCGAAGGCGGCUUGCUGGGCGUGAUCUGACGCUGAGGCGCGAAAGCGUGGGGAGCGAACAGGAUUAGAUACCCUGGUAGUCCACGCUGUAAACGAUGGGCACUGGAUGCGGGGGGGAUCGGCCCUCUCCGUGUCGCAGCUUACGCGUUAAGUGCCCCGCCUGGGGAGUACGGCCGCAAGGCUG